GAGUUUGAUCAUGGCUCAGGAUGAACGCUAGCGGCAGGCUUAACACAUGCAAGUCGAGGGGUAGUUACUUUCGGGUAAUGAGACCGGCGCACGGGUGCGUAACGCGUAUGCAAUCUACCUUUUACAGGGGAAUAGCCCAGAGAAAUUUGGAUUAAUGCCCCAUGGUAUUAUAGAGUGGCAUCACUUUAUAAUUAAAGUUCCAACGGUAAAAGAUGAGCAUGCGUCCCAUUAGUUAGUUGGUAAGGUAACGGCUUACCAAGACGAUGAUGGGUAGGGGUCCUGAGAGGGAGAUCCCCCACACUGGUACUGAGACACGGACCAGACUCCUACGGGAGGCAGCAGUGAGGAAUAUUGGACAAUGGGCGCAAGCCUGAUCCAGCCAUGCCGCGUGCAGGAAGGAGCAUCUAUGGUGUGUAAACUGCUUUUAUACAGGAAGAAACACUCCCUCGUGAG
This 453-nucleotide ribosomal RNA is filed under the name uncultured bacterium. RNAcentral describes it as "bacterial SSU rRNA". It matches the Rfam family "Bacterial small subunit ribosomal RNA", at positions 9 to 464 of the family's 1533-position model. The record is from RNAcentral.